GAUGAACGCUGGCGGCGUGCCUAAUACAUGCAAGUCGAGCGAACAGACGAGGAGCUUGCUCCUCUGACGUUAGCGGCGGACGGGUGAGUAACACGUGGAUAACCUACCUAUAAGACUGGGAUAACUUCGGGAAACCGGAGCUAAUACCGGAUAAUAUAUUGAACCGCAUGGUUCAAUAGUGAAAGACGGUUUUGCUGUCACUUAUAGAUGGAUCCGCGCCGCAUUAGCUAGUUGGUAAGGUAACGGCUUACCAAGGCAACGAUGCGUAGCCGACCUGGGAGGGUGAUCGGCAACACUGGAACUGAGACACGGUCCAGACUCCUACGGGAGGCAGCAGUAGGGAAUCUUCCGCAAUGGGCGAAAGCCUGACGGAGCAACGCCGCGUGAGUGAUGAAGGUCUUCGGAUCGUAAAACUCUGUUAUUAGGGAAGAACAAAUGUGUAAGUAACUAUGCACGUCUUGACGGUACCUAAUCAGAAAGCCACGGCUAACUACGUG
Molecule: ribosomal RNA, 497 nt
Filed under: uncultured bacterium
Lineage: Bacteria
Description: partial 16S ribosomal RNA
Rfam family: Bacterial small subunit ribosomal RNA
Source: RNAcentral